This is a long non-coding RNA of Anopheles merus, 4041 nucleotides long. RefSeq lists it as uncharacterized. The transcript has 3 exons. The record is from RefSeq and is a predicted model, not a curated record. Lineage: Eukaryota; Metazoa; Arthropoda; Insecta; Diptera; Culicidae.
CUGUCUAACACACCUGCAGCCGUGUCAAGCUCUCUCGCUCUUUUGUCAAAUCUCGCUCCCAUUCGCUGUCUCGCCUCCUUAACGGGAGCAAGCAUUUUGCAUGCGUAAGAGCGCGCGCUCCAUUCAACCGCACAUAGCACGCCUCUCACUCUCGCCCGCUCUCGCUCGCUCUGUCUGCUACGACGGAGCACGGCUCCGGUGUCGAGCGGUGAAUCGAACGCAUCGCGAACUGCAUAAGCAUUUCGUGGCCGGACCGAUGCGGAUCCCAAGCACAGCCCAGAGCCGCACACAGAGUCGCACACAGAGCCCCCAUCGGAGCCCGGAAGGCAUCGAAGCGUCGAGUGUGCGUUGUGUCGUAUCGUGUGGGACACUCGCCCGGCAUUCAACACUGAGGCAGAGCAGCAGCAGCAGCGUCUAAAGCGACGCCCGCGUGUGUGUGUCUGCGACACAAGCCGUAAGUAGUGAAGUGCGUGCGUUCGUGCGUGUUUUGUCGGUCGGAAACUGUAUAGAAAGGGAAGCAAGUGCACAGACGCUGUGAAUCGAUCGUGUGACAGUUGCGUGUACCGGCAGCCAAUUGCGUCCAAACUGUCACUGCGUCCGGCACACAAAUACAACAAACCGCACUAGCGAGAAGUGUGCACAAUGCGCGCGUGUGUGUAUGACGCUGCCACCGCUGUCGUCGCCCCGCUGCAGCAGUGCUAGGUUAGGAGGGCACACACAACAGUGCGCGCGUCAUCAUUAUUUGCCUCGCCGCUCGCCUCUAUGUUUGCUCAGUGCGUGCGUGCGUGUGCGAGUGUGUGCACACAAGUGAUCGUGAGACACCCCCCGUCCGUCUGUUAAAUAGAGUGUGUGUGUGUGCGCGCGUUUUUGUUGUUGUUACUGCUGCCGUUUUUAAGUCGUCUCGCGGUGCGAAGCGUUUUGUUUCGCGUCUAAUGUACUUGUCACACAAAACUUUGCCUCCCGCGUGUGUGUGUGUGUGUGACUGAUGGGGCAGAAUUAGAAGAAGAAGUGACGGGAGAGUAACAAAAAAGAAACAGUUCACAUACCAGCACGAAAGAUAAAACAAGCCCCAGACACACACAAACACUCCUCACGGGACAACCCAUAUUGCUCCAGCGUCGGUCGGUGUAUUAGCUGCCGUGAAGGGGCGUCCAACUUGCCACCGUCUCCGUCGUGUGUGCCUUCCAACAAACACGCAGACACCGCGACACGGCCUGCAAAAGUCGCGCCGGGAGUCAACCACUGCGUCACGGUGCAUCUCGGAUAAAACUGUCUUCUGCCUGAACCGGGAGCAAAAAAACAGCCUUCAGUUGGAACGCGGUUUGCCAUCGUCACCGCCCGCUUCGAUCGACAGGAAAGAGAGUGCAGCAAGCGAGAGAAAGAGAGGGCACGCGAGCGAGAAAGGGCAAUUGCUAAACGUCAUCACAAGCGACACACUUGUGCGUGUUCGAUCCCCCCUCCGCUGCACCGUCAUUGCCCAGGGUUGUUGAAGAGAUUGUUGAAGUGCUAAAACUGCUGGUCAGUUUUUGAACGUGCGGUGACCUCUGGCUUCCCUGAGCAGCAAACCCCGAACGCAGGCUGCAAACGGAAACUGCAUCCGCACCAGGAGCGAAGGGGGCGUUUGUGCAAUUGCUUCCUCUCGUUUUGAGGCCGUCUGGCGUCUGGCAACAGCAGGAGAGGAGGAUUGGUUCGAGGAAAAGAAACCCUGCAAGGGCUCGGCUGCAUUUGUGCGUAUGUGUGUGUGUGUGUGCGAUGCAACGGUUGUGAACAGCGGCGCGGCGAAUGCGCGAUGUGCUGUGAUUUAAUGCGAAUGCAAUCGGUACGAUAUGCAUUGCACCCCCCCGGAAGCCGGCCAGCAGCAGCAGCAGCAGCACGGGAUUGAGCGAUGGUGGUGGUGCUGCAGCAGAAGAAGCAAACGAAGCAGAAAGGCUGUGUCGUCUGUGUUGCGGUAGUCGUUGCCCGCCUUCCCACCUUUCUGCUUGCAUAAACCUCUGUGCAAUCUUUGCAAUCUAAAGAAGAAAAAACGGUGUAAAACUGAGGCGCCACAGCGUGUGUGUGUGUGUGAUUGUGAACGUGUAUAUGUGGGAGUGCAAAUAGUGAAACCAAGUUCUCCAUUGCCUAAUCGUGGCUUUUGAUAAGUCUUAUCGAUAAUUUCACGGCUGGCUGUGUGUAGGUAAAAGAAGAAAAGAAAAGGCAUAAAGGGCCUCCUCCAAUCAUUACCGGUGUUUGUGUGUAUGUGUGCGAUUGUGUAUAUAAAUUUGCCAGUGUAUGAGUAAUGCGUGUGUGUAAUUUCGUGUGCGCUUGAAGCAAUUGGUUUGUGCAUUAGUGGCAAAGAAAAGGCAGCCGCAAAAGGAAGGGAAUUUUCCUAGUGUGAUAAAAGUUGCACCGGUAGCCGUGUGUAGCUUGUGUGUGAGUGUACGUGUGCGUUUUGUGGCUUUAAAAAUGCGUGCCUAAACGAAACGAGUACGGGCAGGAUUGGAAAGGCGAAAGAAUUUUCCAUUCGAUUUUGCCUCUCCGUGUGUUGAGUAUAUGAGCGUUUGCGUCGUGAGGCUGCCGGCCCAAUCAAUCAAAGCAAUCGGUGGAAAAACAGUGUGUGUUUGUGUGUGUGAUUGUGCGUGCGUUUCGUGUUUUCGCGUGUGGCUUCUCUAACGCAGGAACGAACACCGGUGGCGAAUACGUUGGCAACGAGGAGGAAAAACAAAAUCAACAUAGCAAAACGGAAGCGAACGAAAAAAGUCAAAGUCCUUUUGAUGACGUGUGAGAGAGAGAGAGAUGGUACUGGGGCGAGGAGAGAAGAAGGAGGAAAAGCGGGCGCACACAAUGGCCCGGCACACGGAGAAUGUUCCGGUCAAAGUUGAAGGAACUUUGUACGUGAAUAGGUUUUGUUGUUUAGUUUCUUUUCUUUUUUUUUUUUUUGUUGCCCUGAGAAGGAAAGGACUCGUUCGGUUUGUUGUUUGUUCACGCACUGCCCGAAACGGUCCAAAAGCGAGGAACAAAUGGCAGCUUGUUGGUUUGUCGUGAAGAGAAGAGUGUUUGCCGGAGUUUCGAGAAGAAUCACUAAAACAAAUUGUAUUUCUAGGAUCUUUGCGUUAACAAUUUGAUGGAAUCGAACAAAGUAUUGUGCGGUAAAAAACAACAUGUUACGUAUUGAUUCAUAAGCUUCAUUUUCCACCUACUGAACACCUCAAGAAACGCCAUCUUCAUCUCUUUCUGGCGGGAGUGGUUCCACAAUCUUAAUUUCUGAUGCCGGCCCGUUCACUGCCAAGACACUGCUUUGCAAGUAUUUAUGAGGUGUAGUUUUUUUCCCUCUUCAAGAGCUCACCUAGGCACCGUUUAGACAAAAAAAGCAGACGAUGUGAAAAAAAUGGAGCUUAGUAAAACUGGCCCCUAGCUUCAUUUAUCAUCCACACCUUCCACGCGCUGCUGUCGUGCAUCGAAAAGCGGUGGGCUUUGAAGCUGCGAGGCGGAGCGAGGAAAAAAGUACAGCAACGCAUCAACCCUGGAAGGCUAGGGUAGGAAAUUUUGCAUUACAGUAGAUGAGAAAGACGAGCAAGAGAGAAAUAAGCCAACACCACGAAACAAGUCAAUGUGAAACACCUGAGCCAUGCAUUUCCCUACUUCACCUUUCGUUGGUGCUUCGUCUUUUAAGUUUAGGUCCUAAAGAAGCUUUUUCCAACUCCAACUGCAAAAAACUGCUUUUGAUAACGAGUGUUCAUCGUUAAUUUUUAAAUUUAUUUAUUUUUAUUUCCUCAUUUUGGAGGGAUGAAGCACAAAAAUGAGGCUCUAAAAUUGUCACCUGCUGUUUAGCAAAUUUACGGCCAAUUUAUAUGACCGAUCAAAACGAGCUCCGAUGCUCCACAAACUACAGCUAGUUAGAAAUCAUCACACCGGGAUGGGGCGGGAGGACACUUGAAUGCAGCUAAUUAGGAAUGCACGUCCGUCCCCAGGGCGGACGAAAACCAGUUUUCGGGCCAACCGUUUAUAGGCCUUUUUUAUUGGAGGCUCGUGAAUGGGAUGCAUGAUUAACGGCUUCGACCAGGG